This 468-nucleotide ribosomal RNA is filed under the name uncultured bacterium. RNAcentral's name for it is "partial 16S ribosomal RNA". It matches the Rfam family "Bacterial small subunit ribosomal RNA", at positions 28 to 507 of the family's 1533-position model. The record is from RNAcentral.
GACGAACGCUGGCGGCGUGCUUAACACAUGCAAGUCGAACGGAAAGGCCCUGCUUUUGUGGGGUGCUCGAGUGGCGAACGGGUGAGUAACACGUGAGUAACCUGCCCUUGACUUUGGGAUAACUUCAGGAAACUGGGGCUAAUACCGGAUAGGAGCUCCUGCUGCAUGGUGGGGGUUGGAAAGUUUCGGCGGUUGGGGAUGGACUCGCGGCUUAUCAGCUUGUUGGUGGGGUAGUGGCUUACCAAGGCUUUGACGGGUAGCCGGCCUGAGAGGGUGACCGGCCACAUUGGGACUGAGAUACGGCCCAGAAUCCUACGGGAGGCAGAAGUGGGGAAUAUUGCACAAUGGGCGGAAGCCUGAGGCAGCGACGCCGCGUGCGUGAUGACGGCCUUCGGGUUGUAAACCGCUUUCGCCUGUGACGAAGCGUGAGUGACGGUAAUGGGUAAAGAAGCACCGGCUAACUACGUG